AGUGAACGCUGGCGGUAGGCCUAACACAUGCAAGUCGAACGGCAGCACAGUAAGAGCUUGCUCUUACGGGUGGCGAGUGGCGGACGGGUGAGGAAUACAUCGGAAUCUACUUUUUCGUGGGGGAUAACGUAGGGAAACUUACGCUAAUACCGCAUACGACCUACGGGUGAAAGCAGGGGAUCUUCGGACCUUGUGCGAUUGAAUGAGCCGAUGUCGGAUUAGCUAGUUGGCGGGGUAAAGGCCCACCAAGGCGACGAUCCGUAGCUGGUCUGAGAGGAUGAUCAGCCACACUGGAACUGAGACACGGUCCAGACUCCUACGGGAGGCAGCAGUGGGGAAUAUUGGACAAUGGGCGCAAGCCUGAUCCAGCCAUACCGCGCGGGUGAAGAAGGCCUUCGGGUUGUAAAGCCCUUUUGUUGGGCAAGAAAAGCAGCAGGUUAAUACCCCGCUGUUCUGACGGUACCCAAAGAAUAAGCACCGGCUAACUUCGUG
This 492-nucleotide ribosomal RNA is filed under the name uncultured bacterium. Its description in RNAcentral is "partial 16S ribosomal RNA". It matches the Rfam family "Bacterial small subunit ribosomal RNA", at positions 29 to 507 of the family's 1533-position model. The record is from RNAcentral.